This 500-nucleotide ribosomal RNA is filed under the name uncultured bacterium. RNAcentral's name for it is "partial 16S ribosomal RNA". It matches the Rfam family "Bacterial small subunit ribosomal RNA", at positions 30 to 523 of the family's 1533-position model. The record is from RNAcentral.
AUUGAACGCUGGCGGCAUGCCUUACACAUGCAAGUCGAACGGCAGCACGGGAGCAAUCCUGGUGGCGAGUGGCGAACGGGUGAGUAAUAUAUCGGAACGUGCCCAGUCGUGGGGGAUAACGUAGCGAAAGCUACGCUAAUACCGCAUACGAUCUAUGGAUGAAAGCGGGGGAUCGCAAGACCUCGCGCGAUUGGAGCGGCCGAUAUCAGAGUAGGUAGUUGGUGGGGUAAAGGCCUACCAAGCCGACGAUCUGUAGCUGGUCUGAGAGGACGACCAGCCACACUGGGACUGAGACACGGCCCAGACUCCUACGGGAGGCAGCAGUGGGGAAUUUUGGACAAUGGGCGCAAGCCUGAUCCAGCCAUUCCGCGUGCAGGAUGAAGGCCUUCGGGUUGUAAACUGCUUUUGUACGGAACGAAAAGGCUCUGGUUAAUACCCGGGGCUCAUGACGGUACCGUAAGAAUAAGCACCGGCUAACUACGUGCCAGCCGCCGCAGUAA